This 429-nucleotide ribosomal RNA is filed under the name Bacillota bacterium. RNAcentral's name for it is "Firmicutes bacterium partial 16S ribosomal RNA". It matches the Rfam family "Bacterial small subunit ribosomal RNA", at positions 355 to 776 of the family's 1533-position model. The record is from RNAcentral. Lineage: Bacteria; Bacillati; Bacillota.
UGGGGAAUUUUGGACAAUGGGGGCAACCCUGAUCCAGCAAUGCUGCGUGUGUGAAGAAGGCCUUCGGGUUGUAAAGCAUUUUUGUCCGGGAAGAAAUCGCACCUGACAAUACCGGGUGUGGAUGACGGUACCGGAAGAAUAAGGACCGGCUAACUACGUGCCAGCAGCCGCGGUAAUACGUAGGGUCCAAGCGUUAAUCGGAAUUACUGGGCGUAAAGCGUGCGCAGGCGGUUGUGCAAGACCGAUGUGAAAUCCCCGGGCUUAACCUGUGAAUUGCAUUAGUGACUUCACGGCUAGAGUGUGUCAGAGGGGGGUAGAAUUCCACGUGUAGCAGUGAAAUGCGUUGAGAUGUGGGGGAAUACCGAUGGCGAAGGCAGCCCCCUGGGAUAACACUGACGCUCAUGCACGGAAACGUGGGGAGCAAACAGG